AAUCAACGCUGGCGGCGUGCCUAACACAUGCAAGUCGAACGCGAAAGCCCCUUCGGGGGCAAGUAGAGUGGCGUCCGGGUGAGUAACACGUGGGUAAUCUACCUCCGGGUGGGGAAUAACUCGCCGAAAGGCGGGCUAAUACCGCAUAAUGCAGCGGCACCGAAUGGUGAUUAGUUGUUAAAGCGGGGGACCUUAGGGCCUCGCGUCUGGAGAGGAGCCUGCGGCAGAUUAGCUUGUUGGAGGGUAAUGGCCUACCAAGGCUGCGAUCUGUAGCUGGUCUGAGAGGACGGCCAGCCACACUGGCACUGACACACGGGCCAGACUCCUACGGGAGGCAGCAGUGGGGAAUUUUGGGCAAUGGGCGAAAGCCUGACCCAGCAACGCCGCGUGAAGGAGGAAAUCCUUCGGGAUGUAAACUUCACAAGCAAGGGAAGAGCGCGCAGGGUCGAAUAAACUCUGCGUCCGACGGUACCUUGCGUAAGCCACGGCUAACUACGUGCCA
RNAcentral lists this ribosomal RNA (502 nucleotides) under uncultured bacterium. Its description in RNAcentral is "bacterial SSU rRNA". It matches the Rfam family "Bacterial small subunit ribosomal RNA", at positions 32 to 510 of the family's 1533-position model. The record is from RNAcentral.